RNAcentral lists this long non-coding RNA (4484 nucleotides) under Nicotiana tabacum (common tobacco). RNAcentral's name for it is "long non-coding RNA (NTAB_LNC004856)". Lineage: Eukaryota; Viridiplantae; Streptophyta; Magnoliopsida; Solanales; Solanaceae. The record is from RNAcentral.
CUAGCUUUUUAGAAGUCGAAGCUUUUGAUAAAACUCAACAAAAGCCUUUCUCAUUUGCUCUUCAGCUUUUCUGAGCUCUUCUUUGCUGAAUGAUAAUUUUGAGUUUGAAGUCAUGCAGCAAUUUCUUAAAGUCGAAACAGGUGUUUCCGAUUCAACAUUGAUUUGUCCAAAAUCUCUAGUGGAGCAGGCCUAAAACCCAUGGGACUCAUCUUUGUUUUAUUUUUUUCCCUUGUUGUUGCUUCCUCUUCCAGAACUUCUUCAGUGUUCAUCUCAACUUCUUGAAUUGCCUCCAUUUCUGGACUAUCUACAUUGGGGUUAAACAAGAAUUCGAACAAAUUAAAGGGCAAUCAUUGGAUGGAGCAAUAAAGCAAGUGGCAACAGCUGGGAUGUCAAACCGUCUCGUAUUUGCCCUUGACUUUAACGAAGUUCCAGCAUAAAAAGAGUGGAUUUCAAGUGUCAAAAUACUACACGGGAAAAAGGUCUAAAUUGAGACAUCUACUUUUGACUAUGGUUUAAAGUCACUCUACAUUAUACUAAAAGGUUGAAGCUCCAUUUUUUUCAAAAGCAAAUGCGGAAUGGUUUUGUUGCGACAAAGGUAUGAAUGACCCCAAAUAUAACCAGAGGCGGAACCAGAAUUUGAAGUUUAUGGGUUUGGGAUUAUAGUUCGUUUAAGCUACUGGAUUCUAAAUUAAUAUAUUGUACUAAGGAUUUUUUAAGACAAAUAUGUGGUUUAGACCAAAGUUAUUGGGUUCGACUGAACCCGUAUUUAACAUGCUUGCUCCACCCCUAAAUAUAACGAAGGAUAAAAUAAAGAUACUCAAUAUAGCAAGGGGUAAUCCCCCCCCCCCUUCCCCCCUCCCCCCAAUAUUUUCCAAAAAAGAUGGAACAGGAACAUAGUAGCCAAAGUAUCUGCACUUACUUGGACUAGUCAAAUGAAUAGGAUCCACUGAUGCUGGAGACAAGGUACUACUAUUAUCAUUGCUUGAAGGAUCCAUCACUUGGGCUGUGUGCAUUCCAAUUGAAGGCUUAUCAACCUUGAUUCUUAGAGCAAUAAGUGCUUCCAUUUGUAUACUCAACUUAUCAGCCUCAACCUUCACUUCUCUUACUUUUUCCUGGUAAAAGGUUAGCACUUUAUUGAAUUCAUCAUCCAAUCUCCUAAAGAAAACCAGCUCAUAUUCUCCACCUUCUUCACAGACACAAAGAAAGUGGUUUCAAAAUCACCUUCUGAAUUCACUACUGUCACUUCAUCUUCAUUAUUUUUCCUAGGAGAACUUUUGAAACUGUUUUGUAGUCCACUAAAUGCUCUGUACAUAGAUAGCCUUUUCCUUAAAGAGCCUUUUGGGGUGACUGCAACUUGUGGUAAUGGUGCAUUCUUCUUUUUGAAUUUCAAGAUUUUUUUCAACUCAUUCUUAAGAGAAUUAUAAUCCAUGUAAGCUUCUUGCCAUUCAUGGACCAUUUGGGAUGCAUAUUCUUUCCCAAAUUUCAUCUCUAUCAAAGCUGAUUGAUUACUCUAUGCUUUUUCUUGAGGAAAAAAAUGGACUUUAUUUGUUUUACCAAAUCCAAAAAAUGAAAAGAUUGGUCUUUUAUAGAGGAUUUGGCGUCUAGCCAUCAUAAGAGAAUAUGGUCAACAAUCAACUUGUUAAAAGGGACUAUGUCUUAGCUGGUUUUGUUCUCUCAUGCAGAGAACUAUUUGAACUGCUAUUAAAGGCACCCCACGUCCCAACAAAUAACAACUUGUGAUGUUUGGUCCCGGAGACUACUCAGUGGGUACAUGCUUGUCUCUUACUAGCAAAAAAUAUCGGAUAAUUCUAUCUAUCAAGACUUAGACAAUAUGCGAAGAAAUCACAUUAUGUUUUUUUUGUCUAUGCAAAGAUUGAAACUUUGAGCUUUCAUGAUUCUCACCUACUUUGUUGAACGCCACACCACUUAACAGGAAAGUUCCCUAGAUCUUCGUGAAGUUUAGUGGUAACACCAAUGAUGACAUAAACCGUCUUUUAUCGCUGAAAACAAGAGCAUACCAACUGUAGAAAGAUUUGUUUUUCACUGUAAAAUAAGUAUUGAUUAAGCAAAUGCACGAUUUAAUAAAUCUUCGCACCAUUUCUCCUCUCAAUCUUCCCACUACUGCCCUCAAAUUCCUUCAAAAUUACCUCUUUUGUUUUCACUCCUAAUGCACCAUUUUUAUACAGAUGAGACCCUUUUCUUAAUCUUUCACAUUACUGUAAAGAUUUAGCAGAAAGAUAAGCGAAGCUACUGAUGCUCUCAAGAGCUAAAAUAAGUAAUGAAAAAUUUGCACAUUACACUGACUGAAUUAUCAACUUCUUGAAUCCUCUUUUGGUAUAAUAUAGAAGUUUCACAUUUACAAAAAAAAAAAUUAGUGUCAAACCUGGCUGGUAAUUUGAUCUGCCAAGAAGAAAUCUGGUAGAGUAACCUACAAAAUGAUGUAAGACGUUUCAGUAUCUAUGUACUUCCUGUGAUAUUACUAAUGCGCGUGAAUCUGUAUAUCGAUUAAAUAAGCUGCCGUUACCUUAUAAAGGAGAGCACAUAGACAGUGCCAGGCACAUCUUAUAAGGAAGAAACGACUUGAACGAUAUAUGAUGUUCAGAGGACAAAAAGUUAUUAGAAGCAGAACCUGAAGGAAAAAAAUUAAGAUCAUUAGGGGGUAUGAAAUAUUUUGAAAACAUAUUGUAUAGAUCAGUUAUAGAAUGAAAGUAGAAGAAGAAGUAAUGUUUUUUCUAGACUUACAACCACCAGGGCAAGUGGUAUUAGCUCAGUUACUGUCCCAAAACUUCUUGUUUUUGGAUCCAUCUCCAUAUCCAGGUUGGCCUAUGCUGCAGCUAAUGCAAGUACUGCAAGACCAGAAGCAAGGAGAAGAACUUGUCUGUAACCUAGUUAUGUUCCUUGCUUAAAGCCAAAUAUGAAGGGAUAAUUGACCCGAAAACGCCUCCAGUAGUAUAUGUUCCCCGCGUACAUGAGCAUAUGGAGGACAAUGAAUCCGAAUAGGCUGAAACGAUACGACUUUAUUACUCAUAUGUAUUGCUUAAAACAUGAUUUCGCUUAAUGUAGAAAGACACGGAAAGAAUCAAUACGAUUUUGUAAAAGACAGAUGGUUAGUUCACCUGUAGAGUGAAAAUAUGUUAUCCAUCUACUGCCCACGACCCUUGUGCUCUAGAAGGUUUCCUGCACGUAUCGAUACAACAAUAGCUGCCACUAAUGCAAUUGAGCAGCCAGAGAACAAACCUAUAGGUGAAAAGUAUAUCAGUUACUAAAACUGAACAUUGUUGAUUUGCAUAUGUAUUACAUAGUUCGAACUGAAUGCAAUGAACUCAGUUAAUGCUAAUAAGGAUGCAUGCUUACCCAUGAAAAAUGUUACUCUAUGUGUUUCUCUUUUAGCUUGCGGUCUUAAAGUUUUCAUUCCUUUCCUUUGAUUUCCAUUGACAAAAUGCUUUAUGAAUGUGGCCUCGACUCUUUCUAUGAGCUUAGAAACCUAUGAUAGCAAAGAUCAAUGAGAAGUUCAAACUACAGUUUCAACUGAAAGGAAAACAGUUUCUGAAACUGAAAGAAAUAUACCUCAUCCGAGCUACCAAGAUAAGAUUUAUCAACCAUCUCUAGGUAUGAUUUAGAAGCUUUCCUUGAGGUUACCUGUAUCAAUAAAUUGCAAGGUUAAAAAGGCCAAACUUUAUACGAGUACUUUCUAUUGCCAAAUCUUCAAUGUAGUACCUUAUCAUACUUCUUCAUGAUCUUGGAAAAUGCCAACAUAUUUAAGAAACUGGCACAUUAAGUAGUUAAAUAUGAGUUGAGUUGAAGACAAACAAUACUAAAUUCCUCAUUUAUGCAGGCGAAAAAAUGCGCCAUUACCAGUAGCUUUUUAGAAGUCGAAGCUUUUGUUAAAACUCAACAAAAGCCUUUCUUAUUUGUUCUUCAGCUUUUCUGAGCUCUUCUCUGCUGAACGAUAAGUUCGAAUUUGAAGUCCUGAUAACUUUUCUUAAAUUCGAAACAGGUGUUUCGGGUUCAACAUUGAUUCUUACAUGAUCCAAGAUCUCUAGUGGAGCAGGCCUAAAUUCAUUCAUCUUUGCUGUAUCUCUUCUCUCUGAUGUUGCUUCCUUUUCCAGACUUUCUUCACUUGUCAGCUCUACUUCUUGAAUUGCCUCCAUAUGUAACCUACCUAUAUUUGUGUAAAAUCAAGAAUUACAACAACAACAACAACACACAGCGUAUUUCCACAAGUGGGGUCUGGAGAGGGUAGUGUGUACGCAGACCUUGUACCUACCUUUAUAAAGGCUUAGAGGCUGUUUCCGGUAGUGUAAAAUCAAGAAUUACAACAACACAAUAACAAACUUAGUGUAGUGCCACAAGUGAGGUCUGGGAGGGUAGUGUGUAGGCGGACCUUAUCCCUACCUUUAAAAAGGCGGAGAGACUGUUUCCGGUAGUGUAAAAUCAAAAAUUCAAACAAAUAAAAUGGCAAAUCAUGGGAUGUAGAAACAAAG